CUUAGUUGACUUUAACUAUUAAUUCUUCAUGGGUAGAUGAUCAUGUUGUUGAAGGUGGAUGGCAUCUUAGAUUAGUAUUAAAGUUUAAACUUGCUUCGCCAAAUAAUAGUUAAAGUUAUUGUUGUAAGAAAAUAUUUUGCUUUGGUAGGAUAAGGAAUUUGUGUUUUUUUUUUUGUACAAAUUAGAAGUAACCAUAGCCAUAGAUCACAGAAAAUAAUUUUCAAAUGAUAAAUAUAUUAUUACAUAUAUUCAAGCCAUUUUUCAUUCUUUAAGAAGUCGACUCUAAAUACUUGAGACAUCUCAUAUGUUUAGAAAAU
This 317-nucleotide long non-coding RNA is filed under the name Musa acuminata (dwarf banana). RNAcentral describes it as "long non-coding RNA (MACU_LNC011162)". Lineage: Eukaryota; Viridiplantae; Streptophyta; Magnoliopsida; Zingiberales; Musaceae. The record is from RNAcentral.